RNAcentral lists this long non-coding RNA (1029 nucleotides) under Ricinus communis (castor bean). RNAcentral's name for it is "long non-coding RNA (RCOM_LNC003615)". The record is from RNAcentral. Lineage: Eukaryota; Viridiplantae; Streptophyta; Magnoliopsida; Malpighiales; Euphorbiaceae.
AGAUCUGCUUCUCAUGGUACAGCAGUUGAUAUCAAAAUAUUUGACAUAUCUAUUCAAAAGUAAAUUGGUUUGAAACUUCCUCAAUUGGCUAGACAUGGAAGCGAUAGCUUCUCUAUAUAUUCUUUUUCUUUUUAAUAUGAAAAAUAUAAAUUUCCUGAAUUAGGUUCUUAUUUGAUUUCCUAGUUCCCAUGGUUCCAAGCUAAAUUGCACAUUAUGAGCAAUGGUGAUGGAAUAUGCUGCCCUAACAUCUCUUUUCACCUCCUUCUUCCAAAAACAAAAAGCAGAACAAGUAUAUUGUUCUAUAAAUUGUUAUAAUUGGUUGUGCAAAGUUUGAUUGUUGAGUAGUGUUAUAUUGUACUAUUUUGAGUAUUUAAUUACAUUUUUGUGUGUUAAGUUGAAUUCAUUUGUUCUUGAAAUGUGGGAAGAUAAGUGUCUAUUGAAAUAUUGUUAUCACUGUCAAGGAUACUGGAUCUCUUUUGGUGUCUGCUGCAUUUUUUAUGAGUCAAUUUGGAUUUUGUUGUUAGGUAUUGAGAAAUUGUCUACACCUUAUGCAUUAUGCGGAGAAGGUUUCUUUCUACUUGCUGAAGUAAUAUAGUUGGAUCUAAUGUUUAAUGCUAAUCUAUCUAAGGGUAAACAGUAUUUGUGGCAAUAAGUAGGGGUUUAAAGUGGCAUCACUCAAUUGUUUAAAGUUUUUUAUUUAUUUUAAAUUAUGGUAUUUCUAUUAUAUUUUUUAAUUUCUUAUACUUUCUAUUUGUAUCUAGUGUUUAAUGUAAAGUAAAAUAUUUAUCUUUCAAAGUAAAAGAGCUAUUUCGAUUUUUUUUUUUUCAAAUCAGAUAUUAGAUUUAAGGGAAUAAAUGCAUUUGCUUUUAAUGUGAAGUAAAACAACCACCUUAAAAGAGUCAUUUUAGUUUCUUUUUUUAAAAUAAGAAAUUAUUUCUUUGUAUUUGGAUAUUUCUGUUAUAUUUUUUGCUUUUUAUGCUUCCUAUUUCUAUCCAGUGUUUAGUGCAAAGUAAAAAAAUCUAUUAUUCA